This 259-nucleotide long non-coding RNA is filed under the name Elaeis guineensis (African oil palm). RNAcentral describes it as "long non-coding RNA (EGUI_LNC023426)". The record is from RNAcentral. Lineage: Eukaryota; Viridiplantae; Streptophyta; Magnoliopsida; Arecales; Arecaceae.
GAUUAGUCGGUCGUGAUGACCUCUUUGAAAGGCAGACUUUUGAAGAAGUCUCUGAUACUCCUUGGAGAAGUCCUACCCCCAUGAUUUUAUGAAGAUGUUGGCCAGAGCAGGAAAAUAUGCCCGGACCGAGGAAGCUUUUGAAGAUGUAUCUAUGUCAGGAACAACUUUCGAAGAAGGAAAAAAGGAAGAGUCUGAGAAGCUCUGACCAUAGGAGACCCAAAAAAAAGAUCUUCGAUAAAAUCAAUCUCCCCCAAGGCAC